Molecule: transfer RNA, 74 nt
Filed under: Ramlibacter sp.
Lineage: Bacteria; Pseudomonadati; Pseudomonadota; Betaproteobacteria; Burkholderiales; Comamonadaceae
Also listed under: 3 other names
Description: tRNA-Lys
Rfam family: tRNA
About the family: Transfer RNA (tRNA) molecules are approximately 80 nucleotides in length. Their secondary structure includes four short double-helical elements and three loops (D, anti-codon, and T loops).
Source: RNAcentral
GACCCUGUAGCUCAGCUGGUUAGAGCAGGCGACUUUUAAUCGUCAGGUCGAGGGUUCGAAUCCCUCCGGGGUCA